AACGAACGCUGGCGGCAGGCCUAACACAUGCAAGUCGAGCGAGAUCUUCGGAUCUAGCGGCGGACGGGUGAGUAACGCGUGGGAACGUACCCUCUUCUGCGGGAUAGCCACUGGAAACGGUGAGUAAUACCGCAUACGCCCUUCGGGGGAAAGAUUUAUCGGAGGAGGAUCGGCCCGCGUUGGAUUAGGUAGUUGGUGGGGUAAUGGCCUACCAAGCCUACGAUCCAUAGCUGGUUUUAGAGGAUGAUCAGCCACACUGGGACUGAGACACGGCCCAGACUCCUACGGGAGGCAGCAGUGGGGAAUCUUAGACAAUGGGCGCAAGCCUGAUCUAGCCAUGCCGCGUGAGUGACGAAGGCCUUAGGGUCGUAAAGCUCUUUCGCCUGUGAUGAUAAUGACAGUAGCA
RNAcentral lists this ribosomal RNA (406 nucleotides) under uncultured bacterium. RNAcentral describes it as "bacterial SSU rRNA". It matches the Rfam family "Bacterial small subunit ribosomal RNA", at positions 29 to 480 of the family's 1533-position model. The record is from RNAcentral.